UCAUUGAACUGUCAUUAAAAUUUUAUCGCAACAAAAACCGACCGUAAUUUUUUAUGUAUGUGCGAUGAUGCUGGAAGACAACAAAAUUCAAGUCGGCGGUAGGAAACAUGACAAUUGCAGUGUGAGAAACCGUGACGAAAGGCCCAAGAGGAACUGUAACCGGUCGUGGAAUGCAUAUUGGUCUUGUGAUAAUGAGGCGGCCAAUUGACAACGAAAUGAUGGAAAACCGUUGCGGUUGUGGAGUGAAGCCACGGGCAAUGCUGAGCAUAUACGAACAACAUUAAUAUUAUUUUUAGAAUAUUCCGCUAGAAAUAGACGCUCACGAGGCACCAAACCAACGGCGCAAGAACCAAAGUCUGUGCAGCCAGUUUUUUUAUAAAAAUAUGUACCACAUCAUGCCAAACAUUUGUGAUAUUUGUGGUGUGGAGAAAACAAGACAAUGAGAGAGAUUAGCUGCCAUAGAUAUAAUAAAAUAAUUAGUUUCGACAACGAGGUCAAGCGAUGAGACUAUAGCAAUAAUACACAUAUCGAUUUUAUUUUAUUCGAAAAAAUGUUUCCAAGGGUCAAAUGUAGAUGAGAUGCAGCAGUAUUCAUGGAUUUGAUCGGAAAAUCCAAUUCGUUACCUGAUAAAUGGUCGAAAAUAUUGGACUACUUCAAGCACCUUAGCUGAAAGAAAACUUACUGAUGGUCAUCGCUCCUAAAAUAUUUCGGAGUCGGAUUAAUGUGUAGACUGAAAAUGAAUGUCUAUUUUAUUGAAAAUCAGAUAUUUUGCCAAAAUGAAAAUUUAUUAUGGUUUUUUUGCUUGCAACAAGAUCGAAAACAUUCUUGAUUAUUAUUUAAUGUCACAGUCUUCACGGGAAUUCUUUAAAAAACGAACAAGUCGUACCCUUAAAUUUAAAAAAAUAUGUUUGCACCAUAAAUCAAUGCCAAUUAGGAGUAGAGUAUUUUUCAAUAGUCUCGUAAUAAAAAUAUAUAAGCUAUAAUUGAAGCUAUAAUUGAAUUCAUGCAAAAUGUUAAAAUAGUCUGUCUACUAUUGUCUGUCUGUCUGUUUAUAUUUGCUCGACACGAAAAUUGUAGCGAUUCGAUGUUUAAACUUCAUUCGAGAAUUCAUUGAAUGUAUUGCUUACUUCGGGUGUUGGUUUAGACAUGGACCUGUAGAGAGAAUAUUGUACUAUCCAAAAGUAUAUUGGUAGCACUGCAAAAGGAAAGUUGGACAUAAAAUCGCGUUUACUCUUUUUUGUACAUUUGGUUAUACCUGAAAUUAUUAAUCCAAUUAACACUUCAUAAUCUUUCAUGGGUUUACCACCGAUGGCACUAAAAGCACCAAUUACCACAAAAACCCAUGGUACAAAUAACACGAGUAUUAGAUAGAGGAAUAGAUUCGGUAGCAUAAAAUUUCGAUUGUCCUGAUUUGUUUGGAAGAGAAAAAUUAUUUUUUUUUUCAAAAUUUAUCUGUUUAAUUAAUUGUUUUAAAAUCACUCAAGGGAAUUUUUUUAGACUAUGGAACUUACGAUCAAUAUGCCGUAAAUCCAUGCCAAAGAAUUUGCUACAAAAACCACUAAAAUAUAAAAUACAACGGAAUUUUUGACAUCAGAAAUUGAUAAGAAAUAUUAAAGUAAAUGCUCCAUCAAUUUAGCAAUAAUUUUUCAUUCGCUAAAAAUAUUCACGUUGGAAUCCUUACGCAUUACACAUGUAGUAACUAAUUUCGCACCGACGACAAUAAAAAACAUUUCAAUGCCAAUGUUCAUCACACCCAGAAUGAGACCAGCAUUUCUCAAACUAAUAAAAUAAAAACAAUGGGUCACAAUACACAUGUUGACUCCGAUUAAUUUCGAAUAAGUCCGUUGAUGAAUUGGUUGUAUUAAAACUCAAAAUGAAUAAAAAAAUUAUAUUUCUUGGGGAAAAAUA
Contarinia nasturtii (swede midge) is the source of this 1908-nucleotide long non-coding RNA. RefSeq lists it as uncharacterized. The record is from RefSeq and is a predicted model, not a curated record. Lineage: Eukaryota; Metazoa; Arthropoda; Insecta; Diptera; Cecidomyiidae. The transcript is spliced from 5 exons.